UACAGAGGGUGCGAGCGUUAAUCGGAAUUACUGGGCGUAAAGCGUGCGUAGACGGUUAUAUAAGUCGGGUGUGAAAGCCCCGGGCUCAACCUGGGAAUGGCAUUUGGGACUGCAAGGCUUGAGUGCGGCAGAGGAGACUGGAAUUCCUGGUGUAGCAGUGAAAUGCGUAGAUAUCAGGAGGAAUACCGAUGGCGAAGGCAGGUCUCUGGGCUGACACUGACGCUCAUGCACGAAAGCGUGGGGAGCAAACAGG
This 253-nucleotide ribosomal RNA is filed under the name uncultured bacterium. RNAcentral describes it as "partial 16S ribosomal RNA". It matches the Rfam family "Bacterial small subunit ribosomal RNA", at positions 524 to 776 of the family's 1533-position model. The record is from RNAcentral.